This is a long non-coding RNA of Brassica rapa (field mustard), 1763 nucleotides long. RefSeq lists it as uncharacterized. The record is from RefSeq and is a predicted model, not a curated record. Lineage: Eukaryota; Viridiplantae; Streptophyta; Magnoliopsida; Brassicales; Brassicaceae.
GUCACAGUUCAGAGUGUAGAACGUUUCAUUUUUUUUAUUUUGGUUGACCAAAUAUAUAUACAAGAUUAUCUAUGAUUCUUUCAAUUAUUUUUCUUAAAUUACAUCAAAAUAUUGAAAUAUAUGGAAAUUGGAGAUGAAUUUAUUUAUAAAGAAUAUAUAAGCAAUACAAUUUGUUGUUUAUAUUUAUAUAAACUUUAUAUAAGUAUAUAGUAAUUGUUAAUUUAUGAUUUUAAUGAUCAAUUCAUAUAUUUAUCAAAAAAAUAAAAUUUAAUUAUUGAGAUUAUAAUUAAUCCCCUUAAUCCAAUAAAUAGCCAUAAAAUCAUUAAUUAAUCAAAUAUUAAAUUAUUGAGCCAAUAUAGAGCCAUAAAAUCCUUAAUUAAUCAAAUAUUGAAUUAUUGAGAUUAUAAUAUAUAUUUAGGUUUUAAGUACUAAUUCAUAUCUUGGUUUCACAAUUUGCAAUUUUUCAAGCUUUUGAAUAUAUAUUUGAGUUUAGAUGGUUUUAAAUAAUACAUAAACCUUUUUGACAACAUACAUAAACUUCUUAUAAGUGUCAUAUAAAUCUGUUCAGAUGUUUUUAUAAAUCGGAUUAGUGUGUAUAUAGGUUUUUUAUUCGGGUUUGAUUCAGAUCUUAGAUUCAAUUGUAAAUGAUGAGGUCUAAUUCGCAGAUACCACCAAAAUUCGUUUAUUUAUCUCCAUGAAGAUCAUUAUUACAAUGAAAUAAAGUUGGGGGCCUGCAAAUCUUGUGUGGUUUCAGUCCUUCAGAAUCAGAUCCCAUCUAUUCAAAAUACUCCAUGGGGCAUUUAUAUGAGGAACACGAAGCGUCGAAGCCCAAUGUCUAAAUGCCGCUACAAGAUCUCAUAGGGCGCACUGCUAAUAACACCAUUUUUUCUCCAAAUAAACUUUUAUCUGGUUACGAAACUGAUUAUGCUAUUAGAUAUGGGUUCUGCAAUGCACCAUGUAAACAAAAUGACGAUAAGGUAACAUGGUCAUAUUAUUACUUGUUUGUUGGUAGUUGGAACUAUAGCUGGACAGUAAUUGUGAAAAGUUACUGCUAUCAGCGCCGUUCAAUAUUAUAUCAUAGGUGCUAGGUAAAAAAAAUGAAACCUUCAAAUUUUAAUUUUUAGGUAUUUUAGUACUUUUUCCUUUCAAGUUUUAUAGUAUUAUACUGAUUUUGUUAUGAGUAAUUAUAUGUAUAUUGUAAAUAAAAUAUAUUCACUAACGCUUUUCAAUCAAAAACCUUGUACUAUUUCUAAAAUUUAUAUUAUUCAAAAAUAUAUAAAUAUAUAAAAUCAGGAACUCUGAUUAUUACAACACCAAAUUGAAUGUGGGAUGUGGCACCCUUUGCCCCCCUCCUCAGCCGGCAUUGACUGCGAUUACAAAGACAGCAUACAAUGACAACAUUGACAAGAAGCAUACGAAGUGGUGUCUGUAGACUAUUGUGGUGUUUUUUAAUUUGCAAUUUGGUUUUCGGUGUCCCAAAGUAUACUUUACUAUGAUAAUGAUACCCAUUUACAGAUUUUAUUUAUUUAUCAGAAAAUACCUGUCGGGAAAAAAUAGUCACGACCAUUUUCCACUUUUUUUAAUUACCGAUGAAUUUAGCUUUAAUCACUAUCAGUCCUAAAUUAUUAUAAAAAUAUAAAUUUAUGCAAUACGAUACAAGUAUAAAACUUCUUGCAUUACUAUCAUGAUACAUUGAUAAACGAAGAAGGAAAAAACAUAAUAAUCCUCAUAUAUAUUUUACAGAUAUGGACUCUACCACCAAA